This 69-nucleotide transfer RNA is filed under the name Cordylochernes scorpioides. Its description in RNAcentral is "tRNA-Gly". Lineage: Eukaryota; Metazoa; Arthropoda; Arachnida; Pseudoscorpiones; Chernetidae. The record is from RNAcentral.
UGCAUCGGCCAGGAAUCGAACCCGGGGUGCCCGCGUGGCAGGCGAGCAUUCUGCCACUGAACCAAAAGC